GACGAACGCUGGCGGCGUGCUUAACACAUGCAAGUCGAACGGAAAGGCCCUGCUUUUGUGGGGUGCUCGAGUGGCGAACGGGUGAGUAACACGUGAGUAACCUGCCCUUGACUUUGGGAUAACUUCAGGAAACUGUGGCUAAUACCGGAUAGGAGCUCCUGCUGCAUGGUGGGGGUUGGAAAGUUUCGGCGGUUGGGGAUGGACUCGCGGCUUAUCAGCUUGUUGGUGGGGUAGUGGCUUACCAAGGCUUUGACGGGUAGCCGGCCUGAGAGGGUGACCGGCAACAUUGGGACUGAGAUACGGCCCAGACUCCUACGGGAGGAAGCAGUGGGGAAUAUUGCACAAUGGGCGGAAGCCUGAUGCAGCAACGCCGCGUGCGGGAUGACGGCCUUCGGGUUGUAAACCGCUUUCGCCUGUGACGAAGCGUGAGUGACGGUAAUGGGUAAAGAAGCACCGGCUAACUACGUG
RNAcentral lists this ribosomal RNA (468 nucleotides) under uncultured bacterium. RNAcentral describes it as "partial 16S ribosomal RNA". It matches the Rfam family "Bacterial small subunit ribosomal RNA", at positions 28 to 507 of the family's 1533-position model. The record is from RNAcentral.